This 3314-nucleotide long non-coding RNA is filed under the name Octopus vulgaris (common octopus). The record is from RNAcentral. Lineage: Eukaryota; Metazoa; Mollusca; Cephalopoda; Octopoda; Octopodidae.
GAAAUCAUUAAAUACUUUGGAUUCUGCACCAUCUGCAUUUGUCUAAGAUUUAACCAUGAAUUAAGUAUUUGUAUACCAAAUGACAAGCACAGGUUUCUCAUUUAACUUUUCUCUUUUAUUUUUCAGUUGCUUCAGUCGUUACACUGAAAUGCCUUGAAAAAAUUUCAUUCAAACCAAUUUCUUUUGGAUUUUUAAAGUAGAUUCAGUUCUCUAUCUCGGUUUCUUUUCUAUUAAUAUUGUGUUCAAUAACCUAAUACUUCAUUCUGGCGAGCUGGCAGUAAUAUUAGCACACUGUCUUUACGUUCUGAGUUCAAAUUCCGCUGAGAUUGCUUUGCCUUUCAUCCUUUCGGGGUUGAUAAAUUAAGUACCAUUUAUAUAUGGGAGUCGAUCUAAUCAAAAUGUAUGUUUUUGACUAUAUAAAAAAAGUAAAUCAUUUUAAUGAGAACUUUGUGCCCGGUGACAAUGGUAGAUUUUCUUGAUUCAAAAAGACAAUUUUGUUAGCUUCAGCCAUGUUUCGUAAUUUCAAGUCAGCUUCUCUUAGCUCAAAAGAAAUCUUCAGCAGCAUGAAACUAAUCACAUGGCUACUAAGCAAUAUUAUCAUCCACACAAACAUGUCUGCAUCUGUGUAAACUAAUAAAUAUUUCAUACAAAUCACACAUGUAUGUUAUCAUCAUUAUCAUUUAAAGCAUCUAUCUGUCUAUCUGUCUGUCUAUGUACCUAUCUGUCUGUCUAUCCUUCUAUCUAUCUGUGUGUGUGUGUGGGUUGUCUGUUUUGGCAUGGUUUUUAUGGACUUAGUGUUGUUUAUGUGGCACCAACACUGGUGAGAUCAUCUUUGGCAUGGUUUUUACUGCUGGAUGUCCUUCCAAACACCAACCACUUUACAGUGUGGACUGGAUGCUUUUUAAGUGGCACCAGCACUGGCAGGGUCACCCAGUAACUUGCAAAACAAAGAUCCUUUGAGAGGGAAGGGGGUGUUGAAGGAGGUGAUCUUGUGCCAGGUGAUGAGAUGUUAUAGUGUGACAGAGAGACAGAAACAAGUGGACCAUCUAAUUAUCUCUCCUCAUACAUUAGGCUUGUCUAUCUAUCUACUUCUACAGCAUACCCAAACACAUCAUCCCUCUUCUCUCAUAAACUCUUGGAAACACCACCCACCCAUCAACUACUACUCCUUCUACCUCAUCAGAUAUCACCAAUUCAUUCUCACUUUCUUUCUCCUAAAUGUAACCAGCCAUGUAACACUCCUACAAAAAGGACCUGCCCUACCGCAACCUCUUCUCUCACACCUCAACUCCCAUCUAACAUAAGGUCUCAGCACCCCAUACUUCCUCAAGUUUGUAAACUUGCAAACUACAAGGUGACCUCAAUAGUGCCAAUGAGUUGCAAAAAAGAAACAACCAGUUUAUGCUGUAAAGUGGCUGGUGUUAGAAGGGCAUCCAGCCAUAGCAGACACUGGUACAUGAUGCAGUCCUUGAACUCAUCAGAUACAUGUUAAACCAUCCAACACAUGCCAACAUGGAACAUGAAUGUUAAAUGAUGAGGAUGAAGACGAUGAUGAUGAUGAUGAUGAUGAUGAUAUGUAUAUGUGUGUGUAUAUCUAUAUAUAUAAAAUUGAGAAUGCUUGUCUGUGUGUCUUUAUGUGCACAUCACUAAAACUCAAGAACUACCCAACGGAUUUCAUUCAAAUUUUACACAUGCCUUACUUAGGGUCUAUGCAGUGUCAUGGGUCAAAAAUAUUUUCAACUUCUUGCUUAAUGUGAGCCUUGAGUAAUCCCUUAUCUCUUAUACUAUUUCAGUAUUACAUGUCAAAAGUGAAACAAUAACUUCUCUAUUUAUCAGAUUUGUAUCAGAUUUAUUAGUGAAACUAUUAAUACUUUCAUUAUGUAUACAUAUAUAUAUAUAUAUAUAUCUUGAGAAAAUAUUAAUAGGUUGUUCAUCAAUUUUUAGACAUUAUAUUAUGUUAUCUUAUUUAUUUACUAAACUGAUAAUUACAAUAAUAAGCAUACAAAUAUAUAACAUAUUAUGCUUUAAUAAUAAUAAAACAUUGUGUACAGUGCUUUCUUUCUCCUAUGUUUCCGACGAAGAGCUCCGCUCGAAACGUUAAACCCUCCUUCUUCCCUUCUUUCCUGAGCAUCCAAUAAUACUUUAUUUGUUCCAAUAUAAUACUUUAUUUGUGGAACAAAUAUAAUACACUCGCAUAUGUAUGCACAUGCAUAGAUGCAUAGAUGUAUAUGCACACAUAUGUAUAUGUGUGUGUGCAUAUAUGUAUGUAUACAUGUAUGUAUAUAUAUAUAUAUAUAUAUAUAUAUAUAUAUAUAUAGUUAAUCCAAACAAGAAAACAAAAAGACAACAACGCAAGGAUGUGGAACAAAUAAAGUAUUAUUGGAUGCUCAGGAAAGAAGGGAAGAAGGAGGGUUUAACGUUUCGAGUGGAGCUCUUCGUCAGAAACAUAGGAGAAGGGAAGACAGAGGGAAAAAAAUCGCUGGCGGUACUCACGAGGUCCACUUCUAUUACUUUCACUAUGAUAUAUUUAUGUAUGUAUAUGUAUAUACCCAAGUACCUCAUUUUCAUAUACCUACUAGCAGAGAUACUCAGCAUUGCCCAAGUUACAUACAAUUGAAGAAUUAGACUUUUCUGUUAUAUUUUUUGUAAUGAACUGGAAUACCUAUGUUUCGAAUUUCAUCAAAAUUUCAGAUGAGGGUUAUUUCCCUCUUUACACAUGUAGUAUAAUUACAAAAAAAUUGUAAUCAUGCUACUUUAAUAGUUUCAGUAUUUAACUGAAACUAUUAAAGUGAAAGCAUCUUACAUUACAAUAGAAAGAUAUUGUUUCACUUUUGACACAUAAUACUGAAAUAGUAGAAAAGAUAUGAUAUUGCUGUGGGCUCACACUAGACAAAAAGUUAGUUUUUUUUUGCCCAUGACACUACAUGGACCCUAAGUAAGGCAUGUGUAAAAUUUGAAUGAGAUUGGUUGUAGUUCUCAAGUUUUAGGGAUUCACACAGACAGACAGACACACACACACACAUACAUUCUCAUCUUUAUAUAUAUAGAUUACUUCACUCCGCUUGAGUAAUAAAGGUAGAAUGAGGUAUUUUUAUCUAUUGACUGAAACUGCUGUAUGUUAUUUUCCCAAUUUAUAUUCAUGUUUGUUAUUUUAUGAUAGUUAUUGGUAUCCCUAUAUAUUACUAUAUUUUAUAUCUUAUAUCUUAUAUGUAAAGCAUAAUAUGUUAUAUAUUUGUAUGCUUAUUAUUGUAAUUAUCAGUUUAGUAAAUAAAUAAAUAAGAUAACAUAAUAAAAGUUGAUGAACAACCUAUUAA